This is a non-coding RNA of Punica granatum (pomegranate), 1324 nucleotides long. NCBI's taxonomy places the organism in Eukaryota, Viridiplantae, Streptophyta, Magnoliopsida, Myrtales, Lythraceae. The record is from RefSeq and is a predicted model, not a curated record.
UAAUCGCUGCGUUAUUGUUUGGUUGAGUACAUCCCUAACCCCAACACAAAUAACAUGUUAUCGGGAAGUCUUCCUCGCUGUUGGAAAGGAUUACAAGCACUGGAGGCACUGGGCUUGGAGAACAAUCAACUGGAGGGCCAUAUUCCGACAUCAAUGUGCUCUCUUCAACAGCUCUCAGUUUUGGUACUGAGAGGAAAUAAUUUCAGAGGAAUUCUUCCCAAAUGCUUGGCGAAUAUGUCCCUGGAUGUUCUCGAUGUGGGCCACAAUAAAAUUGCUGGUGCGAUACCAUCAUGGAUUGCUCAAAUUCCUUUCCUAAGUGUACUGAGUCUUGAAUCCAACGCCCUGAAUGGGGAAAUACCAAUUGGAAUUUGCCAGUUCUGCUGUCUCCAAAUUUUGAACCUAGCAGACAACGGCCUUUCUGGAACCAUUCCCCCCUGCUUAGACAACAUAACUGCUCUCACUAGCCCAAACUAUCACGGUAACUGGGAUUCUUAUUUUGGAACUGAGGUAAAUACGAAGUCAUUAACCCAGCUAUACACCAGCACAGCUCGAUAUCUGCAUUCGAUUGACCUUUCAAACAAUAAGUUUGUUGGAGAGCUUCCAAGAGGGCUGACAAGGCUCUACAAACUUCAGAAUCUCAAUUUGUCACGGAACAACUUCAGCGGGAGAAUACCUUCAGAGAUUGCCGAUUUAUGGAAUCUGGAGUCACUUGAUUUGUCGCUCAACCGAUUCUCAGCUUAGUACAUUCGGAAUUGAAUCAUUUGUUGGCAAUGAUGACCUCCGUGGACCUCCACUUUCGAAAAAUUGCAUAGGAGACGAUCACGGACAACCUGGUUUGCCUGAACAACAAUAUGAUAAUUCCAGCAAGGAAGAUGAGUUUGACAUUCGCUGGUUUUAUGCGGGCUUGGCACCAGGAUUCACCGCAGGAUUCUUGGGAUUUUGUGGCUCGUUAUUGUUCAAGCGCUCGUGGAGGCAAUCCUUUUUUCUGUGGUUGGACAGAAUCAUCGACCCCCUGCUAGUGAUGAUGGAGGCCAAUUUAGUUCGGUUGCAAAGAGCUUUUAAACAACACGACCAGAACACUAUUUGGUGAAAAUAAAAUGGCAAACUCCUGCAAUUAUAAGCGGAAAGGACGAGUUUCAUGGAAGUAACCAUGAUGUAUCUGUAAAGACAAGUGUUAUGGGUGUACUCGAUAUAUGUAAUGCAGAUGGACUCUUAUAAGUUUAGAAUGCUUUCAGUCAUUACUUCAUUUCAUCAUGAGCUUUUCGUUUGGCUUUUUGAGAUAGCUUUUCAUUUGAUCAAGUCAUUUCUGCAGAAAAUCUAGUAA